UGGGGAAUAUUGGACAAUGGGGGGAACCCUGAUCCAGCCAUGCCGCGUGUGUGAAGAAGGCCUUAUGGUUGUAAAGCACUUUAAGCGAGGAGGAGGGUACUGGUAUUAAUACUACCAGCUACUGGACGUUACUCGCAGAAUAAGCACCGGCUAACUCUGUGCCAGCAGCCGCGGUAAUACUGAGGGUGCGAGCGUUAAUCGGAUUUACUGGGCGUAAAGCGUGCGUAGGCGGCUAAUUGAGUCGGAUGUGAAAUCCCCGAGCUUAACUUGGGAAUUGCAUUCGAUACUGGUUAGCUAGAGUGUGGGAGAGGAUGGUAGAAUUCCAGGUGUAGCGGUGAAAUGCGUAGAGAUCUGGAGGAAUACCGAUGGCGAAGGCAGCCAUCUGGCCUAACACUGACGCUGAGGUACGAAAGCAUGGGGAGCAAACAGG
RNAcentral lists this ribosomal RNA (430 nucleotides) under Pseudomonadota bacterium. Its description in RNAcentral is "Proteobacteria bacterium partial 16S ribosomal RNA". It matches the Rfam family "Bacterial small subunit ribosomal RNA", at positions 355 to 776 of the family's 1533-position model. Lineage: Bacteria; Pseudomonadati; Pseudomonadota. The record is from RNAcentral.